Molecule: ribosomal RNA, 468 nt
Filed under: uncultured bacterium
Lineage: Bacteria
Description: partial 16S ribosomal RNA
Rfam family: Bacterial small subunit ribosomal RNA
Source: RNAcentral
GACGAACGCUGGCGGCGUGCUUAACACAUGCAAGUCGAACGGAAAGGCCCUGCUUUUGUGGGGUGCUCGAGUGGCGAACGGGUGAGUAACACGUGAGUAACCUGCCCUUGACUUUGGGAUAACUUCAGGAAACUGGGGCUAAUACCGGAUAGGAGCUCCUGCUGCAUGGUGGGGGUUGGAAAGUUUCGGCGGUUGGGGAUGGACUCGCGGCUUAUCAGCUUGUCGGUGGGGUAGUGGCAUACCAAGGCUUUGACGGGUAGCCGGCCUGAGAGGGUGACCGGCCACAUUGGGACUGAGAUACGGCCCAGACUCCUACGGGAGGCAGCAGUGGAGAGUAGUGCACAAUGGGCGGAAGCCUGAUGCAGCAACGCCGCGUGCGGGAUGACGGCCUUCGGGUUGUAAACCGCUUUCGCCUGUGACGAAGCGUGAGUGACGGUAAUGGGUAAAGAAGCACCGGCUAACUACGUG